This 254-nucleotide ribosomal RNA is filed under the name uncultured bacterium. RNAcentral's name for it is "partial 16S ribosomal RNA". It matches the Rfam family "Bacterial small subunit ribosomal RNA", at positions 524 to 776 of the family's 1533-position model. The record is from RNAcentral.
UACGUAGGGGCCUAGCGUUGUCCGGAUUUAUUGGGCGUAAAGAGCUCGUAGGCGGUUCGGUAAGUCAGGUGUGAAAUCUCCACGCUCAACGUGGAGGCGCCACCUGAAACUGCCGUGACUCGAGUCCGGAAGAGGAGAGUGGAAUUCCUGGUGUAGCGGUGAAAUGCGCAGAUAUCAGGAAGAACACCCGUGGCGAAGGCGGCUCUCUGGGACGGUACUGACGCUGAGACGCGAAAGCGUGGGGAGCGAACAGG